GAUGAACGCUAGCGGCAGGCCUAAUACAUGCAAGUCGGACGGGAUUCGGGGAGUAGCUUGCUACGAACCGAUGAGAGUGGCGCACGGGUGCGUAACGCGUGAGCAACCUACCCAUAUCUGGGGGAUAGCCUCUCGAAAGAGAGAUUAACACCGCAUAACAUCAGAGAAUGGCAUCAUUUUCUGAUCAAAUAUUCAUAGGAUAUGGAUGGGCUCGCGUGACAUUAGCUAGUCGGAGAGGUAACGGCUCACCAAGGCUACGAUGUCUAGGGGCUCUGAGAGGAGAAUCCCCCACACUGGUACUGAGACACGGACCAG
Molecule: ribosomal RNA, 315 nt
Filed under: uncultured bacterium
Lineage: Bacteria
Description: bacterial SSU rRNA
Rfam family: Bacterial small subunit ribosomal RNA
Source: RNAcentral